GCAGUUAAAGCUCGUAGUUGGAUUUCUUUCAUUCUCUCGCUUGGCCGGCCCUUCAAGGAUCGGACAGCGAAAGGUGAAAAAAUUUGUCUUAAUGCAUGCGUCUACUUAACUGUGGACGUAGGUUGAAAGACUCGUUUACUUUGAGAAAAUUAGAGUGUUCAAAGCAGGCGUUUGCCUUGAAUAUGUUAGCAUGGAAUAAUAGCAUAGGACUUCGGUUCUAUUUGUUGGUUGUUCACGAAACGAAGUAAUGAUUGAUAGGGACGGUUGGGGGCAUCCGUAUUCUCAAGCGAGAGGUGAAAUUCUUGGACCUUGGGAAGACGAACAGCUGCGAAAGCGUUUGCCUAGGACGUUCUCUUUAAUCAAGAACGAAAGUUGGGGGAUCGAAGACGAUCAGAUACCGUCGUAGUCUCAACUAUAAACUAUGCCAGCUAGGGAUCGGCGGAUAUAUUUUUAUGUCGUCGGCACCUUACGAGAAAUCAAAGCAUUUGGGUUCCGGGGGGAGUAUGGUCGCAAGGCUGAAACUUAAAGGAAUUGACGGAAGGGCACCACCAGGAGUGGAGCCUGUGGCUUAAUUUGACUCAACACGGGAAAACUUACCAGGUCCGGACAUAGUAAGGAUUGACAGAUUGAAAGCUCUUUCUUGAUUCUAUGGGUGGUGGUGCAUGGCCGUUCUUAGUUGGUGGAGUGAUUUGUCUGGUUAAUUCCGUUAACGAACGAGACCCGCGCCUGCUAAAUAGUCGAACGCUCCUCGGAGUGAUUUGCACUUCUU
RNAcentral lists this ribosomal RNA (769 nucleotides) under uncultured eukaryote. RNAcentral's name for it is "bacterial SSU rRNA". It matches the Rfam family "Eukaryotic small subunit ribosomal RNA", at positions 615 to 1412 of the family's 1831-position model. The record is from RNAcentral.